This 73-nucleotide transfer RNA is filed under the name Nanobdellota archaeon. RNAcentral describes it as "tRNA-Asn". It matches the Rfam family "tRNA". From Rfam's summary of the family: Transfer RNA (tRNA) molecules are approximately 80 nucleotides in length. Their secondary structure includes four short double-helical elements and three loops (D, anti-codon, and T loops). Further hydrogen bonds mediate the characteristic L-shaped molecular structure. tRNAs have two regions of fundamental functional importance: the anti-codon, which is responsible for specific mRNA codon recognition, and the 3' end, to which the tRNAs corresponding amino acid is attached (by aminoacyl-tRNA synthetases). tRNAs cope with the degeneracy of the genetic code in two manners: having more than one tRNA (with a specific anti-codon) for a particular amino acid; and 'wobble' base-pairing, i.e. permitting non-standard base-pairing at the 3rd anti-codon position. The record is from RNAcentral. Lineage: Archaea; Nanobdellati; Nanobdellota.
GCCUCCAUAGCUCAGCCGUUAGAGCGUGUGACUGUUAAUCACAAGGUCCUCGGUUCAAAUCCGAGUGGAGGCG